UACGGAGGGGGCUAGCGUUGUUCGGAAUUACUGGGCGUAAAGCGCGCGUAGGCGGCUUUGUAAGUCAGAGGUGAAAUCCCUGGGCUCAACCCAGGAACUGCGUCCGAUACUGGUUGGCUUGAAUCCGGGAGAGGGAUGUGGAAUUCCAGGUGUAGCGGUGAAAUGCGUAGAUAUCUGGAGGAACACCGGUGGCGAAGGCGACAUCCUGGACCGGCAUUGACGCUGAGGCGCGAAAGCCAGGGGAGCAAACGGG
RNAcentral lists this ribosomal RNA (253 nucleotides) under uncultured bacterium. Its description in RNAcentral is "partial 16S ribosomal RNA". It matches the Rfam family "Bacterial small subunit ribosomal RNA", at positions 524 to 776 of the family's 1533-position model. The record is from RNAcentral.